This 883-nucleotide long non-coding RNA is filed under the name Ricinus communis (castor bean). RNAcentral describes it as "long non-coding RNA (RCOM_LNC001884)". The record is from RNAcentral. Lineage: Eukaryota; Viridiplantae; Streptophyta; Magnoliopsida; Malpighiales; Euphorbiaceae.
UAACUUUUAAACUCCAUCAAAAUUUUUAAAAAUUUUAAUUAAGUACACCCUCAUAAAUAUAAAGUCUUAUAUAAAAUUAGCAUAUUGCUCAAUUUUGCUCAAUUCAAUAGUAUAAAAAUUUUAUUUUUUAAAAACACUUAUACAUAUACCUUAAUUUAUUUCUCUCUAAUUAAUACCAAUAAAAUUUCUAAUUAACAAUUCUAAAAUCAACAUGCUAAAAAAUUUAUCCAGACUAUUUGCCUCCAACCGCUAGAAUCCGAUCCACGAUCUGAGCGCGUCUACGCACUCGAAACAAUGCAUAGAGAAUGAGUCUAGAAUUUGAUUCUUCAAUUUAGCUCCCGAUCACCCAAAAAACAUCCCGAACAUUUAGCUCCCGAUCACCGCAAAAUUGGUGCCCUGAAAAGCUUGCAAUGCGGGAAGUCCAUUGGUCAACUCUGAUCGGUCUAACCUCGCCGGAGAUGGCCGAAAAAAUAUCUAAAAAUCAGAUGCCUAUGCAAAUAUUACUUCGCCGGAUUUUGCUUUUCUAGCAACCACAAGGGGAAUAAUGGGCAGAGAUGAAAGCCCACUGGUUGCUGGUCAUUUUGAGACUAGAACUACCGCAAACGAACGUCAGAAAUUCCUCAUACAGCAGUGAGAAGUUGUUGCCUUCCUCACCAGUUCAUGCCAUCUGCUCACGUUGCCAGUUACUGGCGUCGUUGCUGCUGCACUCGUCGGCAUCUCCUCCGUAUCCGGCCAGCUUCCCCGCCUCUCAAACCAGCUCUUUCUCUUUCUGCCAUUAAUGGCAACCAAGCUUUCUCUCUCUCUCUCUCUCUCUCUCUCUCUCUCUCUCUCUCUCUCUCUCCUUACCCAUAUACUAACUAUUAAUCUGAAAGUUAUUCUUAAA